GAUGAACGCUGGCGGCGUGCCUAAUACAUGCAAGUCGAGCGAACAUUCCAGGAGCUUUCUCCUUUCACGUUAGCGGCGGACGGUUGAGUACCACUUGGGUAACCUACCUUUAAGACUGGGUUAACUUCGGGAAACCGUAGCUAAUACCUGCUAAUAUUUCAUACCACUUUGUUCGAUAUUGAAAGAUGGCUUUGCUAUCACUUAUAUAUGGAUCUGCGCCGUAUUAGCUAGUUGGUAAGGUAACGGCUUACCAAGGCAACGAUACGUAGCCGACCUGAGAGGGUGAUCGGCCACACUGGAACUGAGACACGGUCCAGACUCCUACGGGAGGCAGCAGUAGGGAAGCUUCGGCAAUGGACGAAAGCCUGACGGAGCAACGCCGCGUGAGUGAAGAAGGUUUUCGGAUCGUAAAACUCUGUUAUUAGAGAAGAACAAGGGUGUAAGUAACUGAGCACGUCUUGACGGUAUCUAAUCAGAAAGCCACGGCUAACUACGUG
Molecule: ribosomal RNA, 497 nt
Filed under: uncultured bacterium
Lineage: Bacteria
Description: partial 16S ribosomal RNA
Rfam family: Bacterial small subunit ribosomal RNA
Source: RNAcentral